AACGAACGCUGGCGGCAGGCCUAACACAUGCAAGUCGAGCGAGGACUUCGGUUCUAGCGGCGGACGGGUGAGUAACGCGUGGGAAUGUGCCCUUCUCUACGGAAUAGCUCUGGGAAACUGGGAGUAAUACCGUAUACGCCCUUUUGGGGAAAGAUUUAUCGGAGAAGGAUCAGCCCGCGUUGGAUUAGGUAGUUGGUGGGGUAAUGGCCUACCAAGCCGACGAUCCAUAGCUGGUUUGAGAGGAAGAUCAGCCACACUGGGACUGAGACACGGCCCAGACUCCUACGGGAGGCAGCAGUGGGGAAUCUUAGACCAUGGGGGCAACGCUGAUCUAGCCAUGGCGCGUGAGUGAUGAAGGCCUUAGGGUUGUAAAGCUCUUUCAGCUGGGAAGAUAAUGACGGUACCAGCAGAAGAAGCCCCGGCUAACUCCGUG
Molecule: ribosomal RNA, 433 nt
Filed under: uncultured bacterium
Lineage: Bacteria
Description: partial 16S ribosomal RNA
Rfam family: Bacterial small subunit ribosomal RNA
Source: RNAcentral